This 253-nucleotide ribosomal RNA is filed under the name uncultured bacterium. Its description in RNAcentral is "partial 16S ribosomal RNA". It matches the Rfam family "Bacterial small subunit ribosomal RNA", at positions 524 to 776 of the family's 1533-position model. The record is from RNAcentral.
UACAGAGGUCUCAAGCGUUGUUCGGAUUCAUUGGGCGUAAAGGGUGCGUAGGUGGCGUGGUAAGUCGGGUGUGAAAUUUCGGAGCUUAACUCCGAAACUGCAUUCGAUACUGCUGUGCUUGAGGACUGGAGAGGAGACUGGAAUUUACGGUGUAGCAGUGAAAUGCGUAGAGAUCGUAAGGAAGACCAGUGGCGAAGGCGGGUCUCUGGGCCAUUACUGACGCUGAGGAGCGAAAGCGUGGGGAGCGAACAGG